This is a non-coding RNA of Callithrix jacchus (white-tufted-ear marmoset), 2834 nucleotides long. NCBI's taxonomy places the organism in Eukaryota, Metazoa, Chordata, Mammalia, Primates, Cebidae. The record is from RefSeq and is a predicted model, not a curated record.
AGUUAUAUAGUUAUAUAAAAACAGAUAAUAAUAAGAAUUGGUGAGGAUGUAAAGAAAUCAGAGUCCCUACACACUGCUGGGGGGAUGUAACGUGGUACCGCCACUUUUGAAAAUAGUCUGGCAGUUCCUGAGAAGGUUAAACAUGGAAUUACCCUGUCACUCAACGAUUCCACUCCUAGGUGUCUACCCGAAAGAAAGGAAAACAUGCAUUCACACAAAACCUUGUGCGUGAAUGUUCACAGCAGUAUGAUUCAUAAUAGCCAGAAAGAAGAAAUAACUCAGCCGGGCGCGGUGGCUCAAGCCUGUAAUCCCAGCACUUUGGGAGGCCGAGGCAGGUGGAUCACGAGGUCAAGAGAUCGAGACCAUCCUGGUCAACAUGGUGAAACCCCGCCUCUACUAAAGAUACAAAAAAUUAGCUGGGCAUGGUGGCGCGUGCCUGUAAUCCCAGCUACUCAGGAGGCUGAGGCGGGAGAAUUGCCUGAACCCAGGAGGCGGAGGUUGUGGUGAGCCGAGAUUGUGCCAUUGCACUCCAGCCUGGGUAACAAGAGUGAAACUCCGUCUCAAAAAAAAAAGAAGAAAUAACUCACUGUUUACCAACUGAUGAAUAAACCAAUUGUGGCACAUUCAUAUGAUAAAAUAUUAUUCAGCCAUUAACACGAAUGAAGCUCUCAUACAUACUGCAGUGUGAAUGACUGUUAAAAAUAUUGUGCUACGCUGGGCACGGUGGCUCACAUCUGUACUCCCACAACUUUGGGAGGCUGGGGUGGGCAGAUUAGGAGGUCAGGAGUUCGAGACCAGCCUGGCCAACAUGGUGAAAUUCCACCUUUACUAAAAAUACAAAAAUUAGCCAGAUGUGGUGGCGGGUGCCUGUAAUGUCAGCUACUCAGGAGACUUAGGCAGGAGAAUUGCUUGAAUCCAGGAGGCGGAGGUUGCAGUGAGCCGAGAUGAUACCACUGCACUCCAGCCUGGGUGACAGAGCAAGACUCUUUCUUGGAAAAAAAAAAAUUGUGGUAAUUUUAUUCCUUCUUGUGAUUUAGAUUUAGUACUAUGCAAUACUAUUAUAGUGGUGUGCUAUACUACUACAGCAGCAUAAGAUUUUUAAGGAACUAAUAUUAAAAGAUAGUGGAGACAUUGAGUUGAAAAUGCUUGGAGGACCAAGUGCAGUGGCCCAUCCCUGUAAUUUCAACACUUUGGGAGGCCAAGGUAGGAGGACCACUUGAUCCCAGAAGUUUGAGACCAGCCUGGGCAACAUAGGGGGACCUCAUCUCCACAAAAAAAAUUUUUUUUAAUUGUUUUAGAUUAAAAAUUAAAAAAUUAGUGGGUGUGGUGGUGCACACCUGUAGUCCCAGCUACUUGGAAGGCUGAGGUGGGAGGAUUGCUUGAGCUCAAUGCAUCGAGGCUGCAAUGAGAUGUGAUCACACCACGGCACUCCAGCCUGGGUGGCAGAGUGAGACCCCAUAUCAGAAAAUACACAAACAGAAGAAGAAGGAAAGAAAACACUUGAAAGAAGGCCACUAAAAUGCCCAAAGUUAAUUUUUGGGAGACAGGAUUAUGGGGACAUUUCAUUUCCUGCUUUAUUCUUAUUUAGAUUUUCUAAGUUUCUAUGAUGAACGCAUAGCUUUUAUUUGAUCUGAAAAACAUCAAUACAUAUUAAUUAGAUAUGAGGCUUUUGCAGCAUGAGCUUGUAAUCUGUAGAAAGGAAGCUGUAGUGAAAUGAUGAACACAGCUGGGCACGGCGGCUCACGCCUGUAAUCCCAGCACUUUGGGAGGCUGAGGCAGGUGGAUCACCGAGGUCAGAAGUUUGAGCCCAGCCUGGCCAACUGGGUGAAAGCCUGUCUCUACUAAAAAUACAGAAAGUAGCCAGGUAUGGCGGUGCAGGAGAAUUGCUUGAAUUCAGGAGGCAGAGGUUGCAGUGGGCUGAGAUUGUGCCACUGUCCUCUAGCCUAGGUGACAGAGUGAGACUCCAUCUCAAACAAACAUUAAAAACAAAAAUAAAUGAAUAAAAAGACAUGAGGAGGAGAAAGCAAAACCAUUUGGAAUGUGGAAGGAAUGGAUUUUUUUUUUUUUGAGCCAGUAGGUUCGUCCAUGGAAUGUCCAUUAAUUACAUGUAUGCCAACCGCAGUGCUGUGAGGGAGUGACCUCGUGCUCAACAAGAUACUCAUGUCUCUCCCUUUUCACAAAUGCUACGUGACUUGCCAAGGCCACACAGCUAGGAAGCAAUCAGCUGGGAUUUGAACCCCCGCCACCUGACUCCAGAGCCCACAGUGGUCACCCAUGUGUUCCACUGUCUCAUCCCUGCGCGAACCUCACUGACCAUGAGAGACGGGGUAGGAAGAGGGCUUGCACCGCUGGACAUCCUCACCUACCCGGACAGGUAACUUGCUGGGCCUCUCUCUCCUCUGGCCUCGGCUCUUCCCCUCGCUCCAGACGGGAGAUCACGUCGGGUUUGGACCCAGGAAGCCCCGCUCCUGGGGAAAGAGGUAAGAGUUGGCAGUGGGUGCCAGGAUCUCAGGGCGGUCUGGAGGGAAGGCGCAUGCGUCGAGCGCCUAAUGAUUAGAAGCACGAAUGGCCAACGCCAGACUUAUUGGUUGCGUGCUUUGCGCACUGCAGAGAGGCUGAGCUCUGACAAGACUGUUGAAGGCGCCGGGUCUGUGCUGUUCCAAUUAAGUGCCCUGUGAAAGUGUAAAAAACACUGUCUUCUGUGUUUCGAAGAUUUACUAAAGAAAAAAACGGUAAAAUAUCUCAACAAUUUGUUAACCGGUUAUGAUUUCAGGGUGUCAAAAUGAUAUGAUUUUAGAUAGCUUGCAGUGAAUAAAACGCAUUAUUAAAAUUAA